RNAcentral lists this transfer RNA (71 nucleotides) under Phrynobatrachus latifrons (Ahl's river frog). RNAcentral's name for it is "tRNA-Ile". It matches the Rfam family "tRNA". Rfam says of the family: Transfer RNA (tRNA) molecules are approximately 80 nucleotides in length. The record is from RNAcentral. Lineage: Eukaryota; Metazoa; Chordata; Amphibia; Anura; Phrynobatrachidae.
GGAAGCGUGCCCGAAAAUUAGGGAUCACCUUGAUAGGGUGACUUAUAGGGGUUCAAACCCCCUCACUUCCU